AGAGUUUGAUCCUGGCUCAGAACGAACGCUGGCGGCGUGCUUAACACAUGCAAGUCGAACGCGAACGGUUUCUUCGGAAACUUAGUAGAGUGGCGCACGGGUGAGUAACGCGUAAGUUAUCUACCCUCCCAUCUGGAAUAACUCACCGAAAGGUGUGCUAAUACCGGAUACGUUGGAAACAAGAAAGGUGGCCUCUAUUUAUAAGCUACCGUGGGGGGACGAGCUUGCGUACCAUUAGCUAGUUGGUAGGGUAAUGGCCUACCAAGGCAACGAUGGUUAGCGGGUCUGAGAGGAUGAUCCGCCACACUGGAACUGGAACACGGACCAGACUCCUACGGGAGGCAGCAGUGAGGAAUAUUGCGCAAUGGGGGAAACCCUGACGCAGCGACGCCGCGUGGAUGAUGAAGGCCUUUGGGUCGUAAAAUCCUGUCAGAUGGAAAGAAAUGCUACUACGCUAAUAUCGUAAUAGUUUGACGGUACCAUCAAAGGAAGCACCGGCUAACUCCGUGCCAGCAGCCGCGGUAAU
This 526-nucleotide ribosomal RNA is filed under the name uncultured delta proteobacterium. RNAcentral's name for it is "bacterial SSU rRNA". It matches the Rfam family "Bacterial small subunit ribosomal RNA", at positions 8 to 524 of the family's 1533-position model. The record is from RNAcentral. Lineage: Bacteria; Deltaproteobacteria.